AUUUCUUAAACUAUACGUCACACAUAUAUCGGCACACUUGUCUGGGUGCCCUAGCUGUUAAAGCGGGGUUGGCUUGUGGGAUAUAUGGAGGCCUAAC
RNAcentral lists this small RNA (97 nucleotides) under Saccharophagus degradans 2-40. Its description in RNAcentral is "t44 RNA". It matches the Rfam family "t44 RNA". Rfam says of the family: This family consists of a number of bacterial RNA genes of between 135 and 170 bases in length. The t44 gene is found between the map and rpsB genes in all species in the full alignment apart from Shigella flexneri. Lineage: Bacteria; Pseudomonadati; Pseudomonadota; Gammaproteobacteria; Cellvibrionales; Cellvibrionaceae. The record is from Rfam by way of RNAcentral.